UAACACGUGGGUGAUCUGCCCUGCACUCUGGGAUAAGCCUGGGAAACUGGGUCUAAUACCGGAUAGGACCAUGCUUUAGUGUGUGUGGUGGAAAGUUUUUCGGUGUAGGAUGAGCCCGCGGCCUAUCAGCUUGUUGGUGGGGUAAUGGCCUACCAAGGCGGCGACGGGUAGCCGGACUGAGAGGUUGGUCGGCCACAUUGGGACUGAGAUACGGCCCAG
This 219-nucleotide ribosomal RNA is filed under the name uncultured Actinomycetales bacterium. Its description in RNAcentral is "partial 16S ribosomal RNA". It matches the Rfam family "Bacterial small subunit ribosomal RNA", at positions 111 to 334 of the family's 1533-position model. Lineage: Bacteria; Bacillati; Actinomycetota; Actinomycetes; Actinomycetales. The record is from RNAcentral.